Ribosomal RNA from Pan troglodytes (chimpanzee), 143 nucleotides. It matches the Rfam family "5.8S ribosomal RNA". Rfam says of the family: 5.8S ribosomal RNA (5.8S rRNA) is a component of the large subunit of the eukaryotic ribosome. The record is from Ensembl. Lineage: Eukaryota; Metazoa; Chordata; Mammalia; Primates; Hominidae.
GACUUUUAGCAGUGGAUCACUGGGCUUCUGCGUCGAUGAAGAACGUAGCUAGCUGUGAGAACUAAUGUGAAUUGCAGGACAUCGACACUUCAAAUGCAAUUGCAGCCCAGGUUCCUCCCAGGGCUUUGCCUGUCUGAGCGUCG